GAUGAACGCUAGCGGCAGGCUUAACACAUGCAAGUCGAGGGGCAGCACGUCUUCGGAUGGUGGCGACCGGCGCACGGGUGCGUAACGCGUAUACAACCUACCUUAUAGAGGGGAAUAGCCCAGAGAAAUUUGGAUUAAUGCCCCAUAGUAUUAUUGAAUAGCAUUAUUUGAUGAUUAAACAUUUAUGGCUAUAAGAUGGGUAUGCGUUCUAUUAGCUAGAUGGUAAGGUAACGGCUUACCAUGGCGACGAUAGAUAGGGGUCCUGAGAGGGAGAUCCCCCACACUGGUACUGAGACACGGACCAGACUCCUACGGGAGGCAGCAGUGAGGAAUAUUGGACAAUGGGCGAGAGCCUGAUCCAGCCAUGCCGCGUGCAGGAAAACGGCCCUAUGGGUUGUAAACUGCUUUUAUACGGGAAGAAACACUCCUUCGUGAAGGAGCUUGACGGUACCGUAAGAAUAAGGAUCGGCUAACUCCGUGCCAGCAGCCGCGGU
This 494-nucleotide ribosomal RNA is filed under the name uncultured bacterium. Its description in RNAcentral is "bacterial SSU rRNA". It matches the Rfam family "Bacterial small subunit ribosomal RNA", at positions 28 to 521 of the family's 1533-position model. The record is from RNAcentral.